AUAAAAUUAUGAAUUGCCAUGCAUGCAAUAAUUAUUUGGCUUUGCUUGGCAUCAGAUAGCUUGGUAAACUCAACAAGAUCCUCCACUUCAUUUUCAAAACUCCAAAAGACCGCUCGAUGACAUUACGAAGUGAAGAAUGUGCAAAGUUGAAGACCUCCUUUUUACCUCUUGGCAUUGGCCCUUCUCGAUACUCUUGGAGGUGAUACU
This 207-nucleotide long non-coding RNA is filed under the name Sorghum bicolor (sorghum). Its description in RNAcentral is "long non-coding RNA (SBIC_LNC015297)". The record is from RNAcentral. Lineage: Eukaryota; Viridiplantae; Streptophyta; Magnoliopsida; Poales; Poaceae.